This 201-nucleotide long non-coding RNA is filed under the name Lathyrus oleraceus (garden pea). RNAcentral describes it as "Pisum sativum (pea) long non-coding RNA (PSAT_LNC040271)". The record is from RNAcentral. Lineage: Eukaryota; Viridiplantae; Streptophyta; Magnoliopsida; Fabales; Fabaceae.
UGCGAGUGAGGACAAAACAUGUUGAAAAGGCCCGUGUUGAUUUGUGGGGUUAGUUGAUAAUCCUGAAAGCAGUUUGGGGUGUUACAUAGUGGAAUAGAGGAAGUUAAACCUUGGUGUUAAGAGAAGUAUGUGAUAGCAGCAUUAUGGUCAUAAGUAAGUGUAAUGGAUUCCUUGUCUUGAGAUGGAUGUAAAGUAACAUAC